Molecule: ribosomal RNA, 402 nt
Filed under: uncultured bacterium
Lineage: Bacteria
Description: bacterial SSU rRNA
Rfam family: Bacterial small subunit ribosomal RNA
Source: RNAcentral
UCGGGAAUUUUGGGCAAUGGGCGAAAGCCUGACCCAGCAACGCCGCGUGAGGGAUGAAGUAUUUCGGUAUGUAAACCUCGAAAGAAUGGGAAGAAUAAAUGACGGUACCAUUUAUAAGCUCCGGCUAACUACGUGCCAGCAGCCGCGGUAAUACGUAGGGAGCAAGCGUUGUUCGGAUUUACUGAGCGUAAAGGGCGCGUAGGCGGCGCGGUAAGUCACUUGUGAAAUCUCUGAGCUUAACUCAGAACGGCCAAGUGAUACUGCUGUGCUAGAGUGCGGAAGAGGCAACCGGAAUUCUUGGUGUAGCGGUGAAAUGCGUAGAUAUCAAGAGGAACACCUGAGGCGAAGGCGGGUUGCUGGGCCGACACUGACGCUGAUGCGCGAAAGCCAGGGGAGCAGACG